CGAGGCACCCUCUGGCGGUCUCUGAGGCGGCGACGGCUUGGGCGGACGGUCCGCCGUGCGCAGGCGCGGAGCCUAGACCUCGCUGCAGCCCCCAUCGCCUUGGGGAGUCGCACCCACCGGGUCCGCCCGCUGGCGCGUCUGUGCUCUCCCGCUCGUCCGCCCUCGCGGGUCCUCUCAGCGCCCUACGCGCCCGGAUGGCGGAGCUGCGGCCUAGCGGCGCCCCCGGCCCCGCCGCGCCCCCGGCCCCUGGCCCUACUGCCCCGCCGGCCUUCGCUUCGCUCUUUCCUCCGGGACUGCACGCCAUCUACGGAGAGUGUCGCCGCCUGUACCCUGACCAGCCGAACCCGCUCCAGGUUACAGCUAUCGUCAAGUACUGGUUGGGUGGCCCAGACCCCUUGGACUAUGUUAGCAUGUACAGGAACAUGGGGAGCCCUUCUGCUAACAUCCCUGAGCACUGGCACUACAUCAGCUUCGGCCUGAGCGAUCUCUAUGGUGACAGCAGAGUUCAUGAAUUUACAGGAACAGAUGGACCUAGUGGUUUUGGCUUUGAGUUGACAUUUCGUCUGAAGAGAGAAACAGGGGAGUCUGCUCCCCCAACAUGGCCAGCAGAGCUAAUGCAGGGCUUGGCCAGAUACGUGUUCCAGUCAGAGAACACCUUCUGCAGUGGGGACCACGUGUCUUGGCACAGCCCUUUGGAUAACAGUGAGUCAAGGAUUCAGCACAUGCUUCUCACAGAGGACCCGCAGAUGCAACCUGUACAGACACCCUUUGGGGUAGUUACCUUCCUUCAGAUUGUUGGUGUCUGCACUGAGGAGCUCCAUGCAGCCCAGCAGUGGAAUGGGCAGGGCAUCCUGGAGCUGCUGCGGACGGUGCCUGUCGCUGGUGGCCCCUGGCUGAUAACUGACAUGCGGAGGGGAGAGACCAUAUUUGAGAUUGAUCCACACCUGCAACAGGAGAGAGUUGACAAAGGCAUUGAGACGGACGGCUCCAAUCUAAGCGGCGUCAGUGCCAAGUGUGCCUGGGAUGACCUGAGCCAGCCCCCUGAGGAUGACGAGGACAGCCGGAGCAUUUGCAUUGGCACACAGCCCCGGCGGCUCUCUGGCAAAGACACAGAGCAGAUCCGGGAGACCCUGAGGAGAGGACUUGAGAUCAACAGCAAACCUGUCCUUCCACCAAUCAACCCUCAGCGGCAGAACGGCCUCACCCAUGACCGGGCCCCGAGCCGCAAAGACAGCCUGGAAAGCGACAGCUCCACGGCCAUUAUUCCCCACGAGUUGAUCCGCACGCGGCAACUUGAGAGUGUACAUCUGAAGUUCAACCAGGAGUCAGGAGCCCUCAUUCCUCUCUGCCUAAGGGGCAGGCUCCUGCAUGGACGGCACUUUACAUAUAAAAGUAUCACAGGUGACAUGGCCAUCACAUUCGUCUCCACUGGAGUGGAAGGCGCCUUUGCCACUGAGGAGCACCCUUACGCAGCUCAUGGACCCUGGUUACAAGAUCGAGCGUACAUCCUUGGGCCCUGUGUGCCUAGGCCUGUUGGGGCAGAGGAGCCAGAAACGAGCAAAUGCAGCAGACCCAGGACUUAAAGAGACUCAGACUUCUGUUUUCUUUGUCUGCUGCUUGAACCUCCCUGUUGGUCCCAGCUGAAUCGGGAGGGGCCAGGAUGACUUUCUUGCAUCAGACUUCAACAGCCUUGGAAGCCCUCAUUCCCAGCCUUGGCACCUUGUUCUGGCUACCAGCCCAGGCCUGUUAUCUCUUGGGGAAAAGGCAUGGCAAAGACACCCUACAUUGGGGGAGAGUGACAAAGGGGAGGCUGAGAGAAAAAGGCAGAAGCUGAGGGACUCUGAGCCCUGUCUGGAGUUCGUAAGUGGCCCCAGCCAGGCCUCUACACCCACCUGCUCCUGGGCCUGCACCUGCCCUCCAUGAUUCUCCCCUCCCCUGUUUCUCCAGCAUCAGGAAAGUCAAGGCCCCAGCACACAGGAAGACAGGGCCAUCUGCAACCUCCGGGUGAGCACAGUGGACACUCCCUGCUUCCUGGAGGAGCUGGAGAGGCAGGAAUCCUGCUCCAACUCCAGAGGCUCUUAGGUUCCAGAGGUCGACACCUUGACUCCAUCUGCCUUACCAUCUGCUGUUUUCUUCCUCACUGAGAUGGGAAAGCAUAUCAGCAAACUCCAGAGCUUUGCAAAAGGGUCUUCAGCUGGGGGAGGGCUGCCAGCAUUCUCUCCUGUACACCUUCCCCUAGCAUUCCUCAUCCCAGUGGCUUUAACAAGCCUCUCUCCCUUGAGUCUGUCAUCACCAGGCUGUUAGUCCUCUGAGCAGAAGCCUGGCCCAGAGCUGAGUCGUUCAUCUGUCUUCAGCCAGGAUUGAACUGAAGGGGUUGAAGUUGGCCUCAGAGGUCACAUGGGGGUCACAUCACCAAAUAUGAGAAUAUUUUUUUAAAGCCCUGCAAUGCUUUCUCAGCUGUGUGGUGUCUGACAGCUCACCCAGCUGGCGCCCCAUUCUCAGUCAUUCGCUACCAGCCCUGAUGGGAGGCCCAGGCUUGGGAGAAGAUGCCCAGCAGCUGUUCCAAGUGGGCUCUGCUGCUUCAGGCCAGGUUUGGAGACUCACUGCUGGGCUCUUCUCCUAGCCCAGUGACUGACUCACCAGUGUCCUUUGGACAAGCCCCUGCCCUCUCCUGUCCCCAUCUGCCUACUUGGACAUUAUGUGGAAGACACUUGGCAAGCCCUGGCCCUGGCCCUGGGCAGCUCCUCUUCAAUGUCUCUGCUGUUUUUUCCUUCCACUGGUGAACCCGGCCACAACAUGUUCUCCCUGGAGGACUUUGCCUAGGCUGUCAUGGGGACCACAUUGUCCAGAGGUAUACCCUGGGGACCUCAUUGUCCAGGGGUACACUCACUAGGGUUUAAAACUCAGCGCUGUGCCUUGAGAAGUACAACACCCUCCCUCUCAGAAGAGGACUGGGAUGGCUGGCUGUGCCCUCACCAGCAACAGCCAGAGCAAGAGAAGUCUGAGCCUGCUCCUGGCCACCAAAACCGACUUCUCACCACCCACCAAGAACAGGAAAUGAGUGAGGCCUUGCUGUGCCACCACUGCAGCUCUACCUGCCACACACACACCUGCCCUCAAGCCUGGAGGGUCUCCAGGCUAUUUUCUGAUUUGUGUCGGGCCCGUUGGGGUGAGGAGGAUGCAGACUGGACUGCUUCCUCAUCCCUGCCUCCUCCACUGCCAUAGUGGGUGCCAGAGCAGCUCCUUGGCAAGCCCUACCCUGUAAACAACACAUUUCCUUCCCUCAGAGAAGGAAAGGGAGGAAAAAAGAAAGCCAAACUUGUUGGGAAGCAAGAACAACGUGUCAACAUGAAGGACAAACAAAGCCCCAGACAAAGUGUGGAUUGUCAUUCCAAGGGGAAGGAGUGGGCAUUGUCAGCACUGUAUGCAGACUCAGAAAUAUCACUGACCACAGACAUUUGAAUCAAAUCUGCAGCAUCCGGGCUUCUGCCUGCAGCAGAGCUGGGCCUGCCCAGGACAGGCACUGACGAAAGAUCACUUUUUGAGUUCCUUAUGGAACUUGCUGGAGGCUGGGGAAUUGGGCAGUUGUUGACAAUCCUCCGUCAUCACCAACCAGCCAGGCUGUUCUAAGGCGCCUGGUGUGAGCACCUUGGCAUACACUGCUAGACUAGAUUCCAAGCCCCCUCCCUAGCCAAAGGUGGGGUAAGGGUGAGAGUUGAGGAGCCACAGCUGCCCUCCCAGCUCAGCCAAUUAGAUGGUGGUAGAGCUGCAGCCACCAACACCCCUAUUGGUUAAGCCUGUGCCCAUACCCUCUUCCCCUGUGAGUUGGAGUAUUUCCUAGCACUCUGCCCACCAUGAUCUCCUGCGGUACCUUUUAAAAAUGAAGAUGCCUUGACCUCGCCCCCACAUUCUGAUUCAGAAGGUCUAGAUGGGGCCUGCAUCUCCAUAUUUUCAAAAGCUUCCCAGGAGAGUUUGGCUGAGGGGCUUUCCCCUCUCACUAGAGAGUUUCCUCCCUCUGAGGGCUGUUUUUACACAAACAUAAGCAUUUUAUGACCAGCUCUUGGACAGACAUCAUUGAAUGCUAUUAUUAUUUCUACUGCUAUUUUCUGGGCUAAAGUACCUGUUGCCUUAUGCAUGCACUCACCGAGCUGACCUGAAAAUUUGCCCUGCUGUCCCCAUUUAGAAGCCAACUUUGGGCAUGGUUUGCCUUCCUUUCCAAUUGGCCAACCUGGUUUUCCAGUGGCUAUAAGUCUAUGACCCUCAGGGUUCCAGCCCCAUUGAGCUGAGCAAGUGGUCAGGAGAUAUGUGGCUGGUUGGUGUUGGGAUUGCUGGUUUUCUAGGCUAUUGGUCAAAGCCAGAGUCAUCUUAAUCUCCCCAUCAGAGUAGAGAGAGUAGUCAGCACAGAAUACACAAGGCUUCUAGAAUUGACAUACCUUCCCCAAACAGAAAAAGAGCAUCCUCUACUACCGUGAUGUCAGAUCACUGUUCUAAAGUCCAGGAGACUUGUCUCCUCUUGACACCUACUUAUCUACAAAAUGGAGAUGAUGUUUCCUCUCUUACAGGACCGUCAUAAGGAUUAAGUGAAAUGAUACAGGUCAGGCAACGAGCCCAGUGCCUGGCACAUGGAGGAAACACUGCCCCUGCUAUUGGUAGUGUUAUCAUUACUACUGUCAUUGUCAUAAACAUUCCUUUUGUUAUUGGUGGCAGAGCCAGGCAGCUCUGUGGGGACUCAAUGAGCUUCAAGAACCCCAAGCCCCAGAAUUGCACAGGAUUUUCCCACAGUUAUAUCACAACAGCGAGUCUGUUGCUCGUGAGAACGUCCAGGAGCUGCUCCAUCAUAGCUGUCUAUCUCCAGUGUCCUGUUGAUAAGAUCUGUUAACAUUCUCAGCUCCAGGUCUGAAAUAUACAAAACAGGGCCUGUUUGUUGAACCUAAGUGUCUAAGGUUUAACUCCCAAAGGAAAUUAAAUUAGGUGCCUGGAGCUAUGACAGUCUGUCGUGGUUUUUUACAGGGAAUGUCACCCUUAAUACCAUGCAGAUUUCAUGUAUAAUUUUCCCCUGUUUGGGUCCUUUAAAAUAAUGUGUUUUUUUUAGGAACCAGCAAAUCACCAAAAGUCAAAAUUGACUAGCAACUAGGGUUUGUCCUUUUUUUUUGGUCCUGCCAUCCCCUCCCUGAGCUGAGUACAAAAUGAGUCCUCACACAGAUGGUACACUAUACCCUUGGUAGCUGUUCCACUAAAAGCCUCCAUAACCCACCCUCUCUCUACCACCAGUUCUAUCUAUACCUUUGUCAGAGGAACUGGUUUAGGACUGAACUCAGCAUUGGUGGGGUUACCUUUCCGAUUGUUUAAAAACAGCUCUUUGGAGUCUCACUGGGUGGCCAUAGUCCCUGCAAGCUCUCCACUCAUCUCACCCCAGCACUAGUUAUAGUCCCAGACCUAUUUACCGCUCUGGCAGAAAGUCUCUCCCUCCAAAUUAUUUGUGGGUUAGAAAUCAGCCCGGACUGGAGCCAUUGCAAUAUAAUUGGGUUUAGGUAUGCUUGUGUUUGUGUUAGCAUUUGCAGAGAUGGCAACAAGCCCCGGAAAUGACAGAAAUAUGAAUGUGACUUUUGUACUACUCAAGCAGACUGGUGAUAACUGGUAGAGGAACUCUGGACUUUUGUGGGGGAAAACCCCUGGGAUAAGAGGAGGAGGCACAAGGGCUCAGACUGUGGGAGGAUCAGAGUGUGACUGGGGACAAGUCACCAUAGUCUGUGAGGGGAGUCAGCCAGCCCCACUGUGGGGAACUUGGAGGACGAACCGGAUGGGAGGGGCACCGUGGGCAGGCAUUUCCUUGGAUGACUUUGUCUGAACCUUGUCUGUCCUCACUUGGGACCUGAACUCCUCAAACAGAAACUUUGGUGAGGAGAUGUGGGCCAGUGGUCAGAGCUGUUUUGUUCCUGACUGGGGGCUUGCAGCCCGGGAAGGAGAUGUUCUUUGAUUCCUUGUCAACCAAGAAAGGGGGCAUGUUCAGCUGUGGGCUACCUUCAUGCCUGUUGUCUCUGGGGCUCUACCCAGGGCUGGGCCUAACAGAGGCCUCCAGGGAAUGCUGUGGAAUCGAAUUGCUUGCUGGGCAGAUGAGUGGAAGAAUGAGUAAAUGUGUGGGGCUUGGAAGCAGUACUUCAGGCACUAACUUUGGAGUCCAGACAUGACUGGGAUGUGGUCUUAUCUCAGCUGCUCACAGCUAUGUGAUGUUGGGCAAAUUAUGUAACCUAUCUGUGCCUCAGUUUCCUCAUCUGUAAAGAGACUGAGAAGAGAAGAUUACGAGCAGUUAGCAAGGUGCCUGGUGUAGUAGCUGGUCCGGUCGCCUGGGGUGGUUUUAUUUCUUGCUCCCACCUCCACCCCAUCAAUUUCCUUCCUUUGGAGCCCUCCAUCCUGUGAGGUUCCUCUGCCAUUUCACUUCAUCUCACAAGCUGACUAUGUUCUAAAUGUUGAAACUUAUGUUUUUAUCAGAAUGAACAACUCCCAGGGGAAACCUGAUGAGUAUUUUCUCGAGUUCUUGAUCUCCAAUCCCCAUCCUCUGAGGGGGUUUCCCUCAGAGAAGCUCCUCACCUUCAUUUUCACCCAUUGUCUUUCUUUCUCUGUGUCCUGCCCAGGGCAUUCAAAGUCUGCUGGAGGAGGCAAGGCAGAGGUAGGUAGGGCCACAGCCUGGGAUGUAGAAGGAUCUGGUUCAGAGGCCAGGAGGCCCCAUAUACCAGCACAGGGAGGAGAGGGGCCAGGGAAGGGCUCAACUUGGGAAAAGACAGCCUCAGCCUGGGCCGGUGUGGUGCAGCCCUGAGGUGAGCUUGGUCUGGCUCUACAGAGACUGCAUGAGGAGAGAAGCUGGCUGGGAAAGGGACCCAUCAGGCUGAGGAAGGCCCGAGUGCCUUGGACAUUCCCAUGGGCUGUCAAAACUACUUUGGGGAUUCUGUUGACUGAAGAGUUUGUAGAGAAAAUGUUGGAGGACUUAGAAGAUUUGACUUCUCCAGAGGAA
Pteropus alecto (black flying fox) is the source of this 7009-nucleotide RNA transcript. It is a transcript of the gene named SUFU negative regulator of hedgehog signaling, with no coding region annotated. Lineage: Eukaryota; Metazoa; Chordata; Mammalia; Chiroptera; Pteropodidae. The transcript is spliced from 12 exons. The record is from RefSeq and is a predicted model, not a curated record.